Molecule: ribosomal RNA, 1377 nt
Filed under: Escherichia coli
Lineage: Bacteria; Pseudomonadati; Pseudomonadota; Gammaproteobacteria; Enterobacterales; Enterobacteriaceae
Description: partial 23S ribosomal RNA
Rfam family: Bacterial large subunit ribosomal RNA
Source: RNAcentral
UUGGCCGGGCGACGGUUGUCCCGGUUUAAGCGUGUAGGCUGGUUUUCCAGGCAAAUCCGGAAAAUCAAGGCUGAGGCGUGAUGACGAGGCACUACGGUGCUGAAGCAACAAAUGCCCUGCUUCCAGGAAAAGCCUCUAAGCAUCAGGUAACAUCAAAUCGUACCCCAAACCGACACAGGUGGUCAGGUAGAGAAUACCAAGGCGCUUGAGAGAACUCGGGUGAAGGAACUAGGCAAAAUGGUGCCGUAACUUCGGGAGAAGGCACGCUGAUAUGUAGGUGAAGUCCCUCGCGGAUGGAGCUGAAAUCAGUCGAAGAUACCAGCUGGCUGCAACUGUUUAUUAAAAACACAGCACUGUGCAAACACGAAAGUGGACGUAUACGGUGUGACGCCUGCCCGGUGCCGGAAGGUUAAUUGAUGGGGUCAGCGCAAGCGAAGCUCUUGAUCGAAGCCCCGGUAAACGGCGGCCGUAACUAUAACGGUCCUAAGGUAGCGAAAUUCCUUGUCGGGUAAGUUCCGACCUGCACGAAUGGCGUAAUGAUGGCCAGGCUGUCUCCACCCGAGACUCAGUGAAAUUGAACUCGCUGUGAAGAUGCAGUGUACCCGCGGCAAGACGGAAAGACCCCGUGAACCUUUACUAUAGCUUGACACUGAACAUUGAGCCUUGAUGUGUAGGAUAGGUGGGAGGCUUUGAAGUGUGGACGCCAGUCUGCAUGGAGCCGACCUUGAAAUACCACCCUUUAAUGUUUGAUGUUCUAACGUGGACCCGUAAUCCGGGUUGCGGACAGUGUCUGGUGGGUAGUUUGACUGGGGCGGUCUCCUCCUAAAGAGUAACGGAGGAGCACGAAGGUUGGCUAAUCCUGGUCGGACAUCAGGAGGUUAGUGCAAUGGCAUAAGCCAGCUUGACUGCGAGCGUGACGGCGCGAGCAGGUGCGAAAGCAGGUCAUAGUGAUCCGGUGGUUCUGAAUGGAAGGGCCAUCGCUCAACGGAUAAAAGGUACUCCGGGGAUAACAGGCUGAUACCGCCCAAGAGUUCAUAUCGACGGCGGUGUUUGGCACCUCGAUGUCGGCUCAUCACAUCCUGGGGCUGAAGUAGGUCCCAAGGGUAUGGCUGUUCGCCAUUUAAAGUGGUACGCGAGCUGGGUUUAGAACGUCGUGAGACAGUUCGGUCCCUAUCUGCCGUGGGCGCUGGAGAACUGAGGGGGGCUGCUCCUAGUACGAGAGGACCGGAGUGGACGCAUCACUGGUGUUCGGGUUGUCAUGCCAAUGGCACUGCCCGGUAGCUAAAUGCGGAAGAGAUAAGUGCUGAAAGCAUCUAAGCACGAAACUUGCCCCGAGAUGAGUUCUCCCUGACUCCUUGAGAGUCCUGAAGGAACGUU